CCCUGGGAACUAAUUAAUCAAACGUACGUAUAAUCCUCUCCUCUGUUAAUGGAGCAGCACGCCGUUGCUAGUACUACUCGGCAGCUGCAGCCGCCGUCUCUGCUCGCGGCGGCCGUCCUGGUCUUCUUCCUCCUCCUCGUCUUCUCCCCGCAUCCUCUCGAGGCCCGCGCACUGCCUUACGGGGAGGGAGGAGUGCUGGCGGCAAGCCAUGGCGGGCGGCGAGUACUUCUGCAGAGAUCGGCGCCGCCGCCUCCGGCUCCGGCAUCCGGUGGACCCAUCCUUCCCAGUCUCCCGUACAAAAAUCCCCCACCGCCGCCGAUGUGAUAUGAUCGAUGGCCAUGCGAAGCGUGCGGAUCUAGCAGCGGCUCCGGCUCGGAUUGUGCCCCGGCCGUCUCGGAAAACUAGCAGACACGGCCGUGCAAUCAGAAGAAUAUAAGCUUAAUCGGACGCGUAAUAGUAAUGAUUUUUUUGAAGCUUUUUAAGUAGCUCUGUAUUAUGGAGUGGUAGAAUUUUUUGAGAGGAAGUUAAUUAGUGUUACGAGCCCACUAGGGCACGGCA
Molecule: long non-coding RNA, 558 nt
Organism: Brachypodium distachyon (stiff brome)
Lineage: Eukaryota; Viridiplantae; Streptophyta; Magnoliopsida; Poales; Poaceae
Exons: 2
Source: RefSeq, a predicted model, not a curated record